RNAcentral lists this ribosomal RNA (1194 nucleotides) under Triticum aestivum (bread wheat). RNAcentral's name for it is "partial small subunit ribosomal RNA". Lineage: Eukaryota; Viridiplantae; Streptophyta; Magnoliopsida; Poales; Poaceae. The record is from RNAcentral.
AUGGCCGCGAUCUGCUGCCAGGAAGCCAAGUCGCCGCCGGCUACCGCCGCCACGGUGGCCACGGUCUCGGCAUCGGCGGCCGCCGCGGCCGUUGCCUCUUCGGUGAUGGACAGGCGGCGCCGCAGGCUGGAGCUGAAGCGCUUCCGCCUCGCGAGCGACCUCGAGCAGUCGGCCGCGGAGUACGCCGGCGCCCGCAAGCGGCCCAGGAUACCGCGCACGGUGUCUGGCCCGUGCCCCGACGCUGCCUCGGCUUCCGAGAACAUGGAUCGUUGCCCGAGGUACGGGUUUUCCUCGGUGUGCGGCCGUCGUCGCGAGAUGGAGGACGCCGUCUCCAUCAGGCCGGGUUUCUUGCCCGGCUCCGGCAAGUCCCACUUCUUCGGCGUCUUCGAUGGCCACGGCUGCUCACACGUGGCGACGACGUGCCAGGAGCUGAUGCAUGAGGCGGUGGCGGAGGAGCACGAGAAGGCGGGCUCCGGCGAGGGGCCUGUGUGGAAGGAGGUGAUGGAGAGGAGCUUCGCGCGGCUGGACGAACGGGCCGCGAACUGGGCGACCACCCGCAGCAGCGAGGAGCCCGCCUGCCGUUGCGAGCAGAAGAUGCCCUCGCGGUGCGACCACGUGGGAUCCACCGCCGUCGUGGCCGUCGUCAGCCCGAUCCAGAUCGUCGUGGCCAACGCCGGCGACUCCCGUGCCGUCCUUUCCCGCGCUGGCGUCCCCGUUGCCCUCUCCGUUGACCACAAGCCUGAUCGGCCGGACGAGCUGGAGCGCAUCCAGGCGGCGGGCGGGCGCGUCAUCUACUGGGACGGCGCCCGGGUGCUCGGCGUCCUCGCCAUGUCCCGAGCCAUAGGGGAUGGCUACCUGAAGCCGUUCGUGACGGCGGAGCCGGAGGUGACCGUGACGGAGCGCAGCGACGCCGACGAGUGCCUGAUCCUGGCCAGCGACGGGCUGUGGGACGUGGUGACCAACGAGAUGGCGUGCGACGUGGCCAGGGCGUGCUUCCGGAGCAACGGCCGUCCAGAGCCGGCCACAGCUCAGGCGCAGGCGAGCGGCGAGGCCAAGGCGAGCGAGGGGGUGAGCAAGGCGGAGUCCGACCGGGCGUGCUCCGACGCGGCCAUGCUGCUGGCGAAGCUGGCGCUGGCGCGGGGGAGCUCCGACAACGUGAGCGUCGUGGUCGUGGAUCUGCGCCGGGGAUCGUGA